AAUAAAUGCAGUUUUAGCACUAUUCAUGUUUAACGUUUAACCGUUCAUCUUAUUUGAAAAAAAAUUAUGAUUAGUAUUUUUAUUGUUAUUACAUGAUAAAAUAUGAGUAGUACUUUAUGUGUGACUAAUUUUUUUUAAUUUUUUCAUAAAUUUUUCAAAUAAGACGAACGAUCAAAACGCUAAACACGGAUAUCUAUGGCUGCACUUAUU
Molecule: non-coding RNA, 210 nt
Organism: Oryza glumipatula
Lineage: Eukaryota; Viridiplantae; Streptophyta; Magnoliopsida; Poales; Poaceae
Source: Rfam